This 88-nucleotide unclassified non-coding RNA is filed under the name Pseudomonas jessenii. Lineage: Bacteria; Pseudomonadati; Pseudomonadota; Gammaproteobacteria; Pseudomonadales; Pseudomonadaceae. The record is from RNAcentral.
GUGGGAGCGAGCUUGCUCGCGAUGGCGUUGUGUCAGUCAACAUAAACUUUGAUUGUUACAUCGCAAUCGCGAGCAAGCUCGCUCCCAC